Molecule: ribosomal RNA, 713 nt
Filed under: uncultured Caryophanales bacterium
Lineage: Bacteria; Bacillati; Bacillota; Bacilli; Caryophanales
Description: bacterial SSU rRNA
Rfam family: Bacterial small subunit ribosomal RNA
Source: RNAcentral
UGAGUUUGAUCCUGGCUCAGGACGAACGCUGGCGGCGUGCCUAAUACAUGCAAGUCGAGCGGAGUUCUAAUCAUUGAAGCCUUCGGGUCGAUUUGGUUAAAACUUAGCGGCGGACGGGUGAGUAACACGUGGGUAACCUGCCUGUAAGACUGGGACAACUCGUGGAAACAUGAGCUAAUACCAGAUAAGCUUACACUACUGCAUGGUAGAGUAAGAAAAGGAGGUUUCGGCUUCCACUUACAGAUGGGCCUGCGGCGCAUUAGCUAGUUGGUAAGGUAACGGCUUACCAAGGCGACGAUGCGUAGCCGACCUGAGAGGGUGAUCGGCCACACUGGGACUGAGACACGGCCCAGACUCCUACGGGAGGCAGCAGUAGGGAAUCUUCCGCAAUGGACGAAAGUCUGACGGAGCAACGCCGCGUGAGUGAUGAAGGUUUUCGGAUCGUAAAGCUCUGUUGCCAGGGAAGAACACAUGAGUGUUAACUGCACUCAUGCUGACGGUACCUGAGAAGAAAGCCCCGGCUAACUACGUGCCAGCAGCCGCGGUAAUACGUAGGGGGCAAGCGUUGUCCGGAAUUAUUGGGCGUAAAGCGCGCGCAGGCGGCUAAGUAAGUCUUGUGUUUAAUCCCGGAGCUCAACUUCGGGUCGCACGAGAAACUGCCUAGCUUGAGUGCAAAAGAGGAGAGUGGAAUUCCACGUGUAGCGGUGAAAUGC